AGUGGUUCUUACAUAUUUAAUGACGUGUGAGGUAACUAUAUAUGUGUGUAAAAUAAUGCUUAGGGGGAACCAGAAAAGGUGAAUGCAAAUGCAUUAGGGGCAGUUUUGUUUCUUGAUCAAUGAUCACGAGUCAUUUCCUGCCCAAAGAAAACCAGGAAGGAGCAGCGCAACCCCACAAUGCCACCACAUAUUUUCACCCUUCCAUCGUCAGAAAGUCAUGUGCAGAGAUCAUUUAAAAAAAAAAAAGGAACGGAGAACACUUUGUAUGGGACAAAACUAAUUGGAGUAGUGGUCCAUCGAUCCUUCAAGAAUAUUAUUAGGGAAAAAAUAAAAUGGGAUUUGCAAGUGGUUAAUGUGUUAUCUCAUAUUCCCAUGAAGACCGAUGAUAUAUGGUUCUCCAUAAGAUCAAUCUCAACUUCAGUUCUGCCCAAUAAUCAUCAAUUAAAUCUUCCCAUACAACCGCGUGCACGUGUUUGUGAUUUGUGAUCUUCUCAUGGGUUCAGCUCCAUGCAUAUUAAACGGCUGUUAUAGGGUGUUCACACCAGUGUUAUCUAACUUUUGUCUUUUUAUGAGUAGAACCAAUUGAAAAUUUUAAAUACAACACUACCUGGUUGGUUUUGCGUUAUGAAAGACUAGUUAUGAAAAGAAUGGAUUUCUUUAUUAAGGAUAAAACUUAGACCCACUUAAUAAAAGUACUUUUAGUAUUGUUUUUUUAAUUAAAA
Glycine soja is the source of this 722-nucleotide long non-coding RNA. RefSeq lists it as uncharacterized. NCBI's taxonomy places the organism in Eukaryota, Viridiplantae, Streptophyta, Magnoliopsida, Fabales, Fabaceae. The transcript has 2 exons. The record is from RefSeq and is a predicted model, not a curated record.